UCCAGUUUACCAAAUAGCAAGAAAUAAAGACAUUUUAUUUAAAAAAGAAACCAGGAACGCCAAGAAGUCAAUCAGGCCUAUAUUACUUGGAUUUGGGUGUGAAUCUCAGAUAUGGGUAUGCAUUCCACAUGGGUGUGGUUAGUUUUUCAAAGUGUUUUCAUGUAUUUGAAGGAUCCUCAGAGGUCAUAUCCCCAUAUCCGUGUGUCAGAAACGAAUGUCAGACACAGGUACUUCAUGAAAAAUGAAGAGUCCGAGCAAUAUAGAAUCAGGCAAUACUAAAAUGUUGUUGUAUCUUUUUAGUUGUUCAUCAU
This 311-nucleotide long non-coding RNA is filed under the name Gossypium barbadense (sea-island cotton). Its description in RNAcentral is "long non-coding RNA (GBAR_LNC010731)". The record is from RNAcentral. Lineage: Eukaryota; Viridiplantae; Streptophyta; Magnoliopsida; Malvales; Malvaceae.